GGAAUUUUGCGCAAUGGGCGAAAGCCUGACGCAGCAACGCCGCGUGAGUGAUGAAGGCCUUCGGGUCGUAAAGCUCUGUCAGAGGGGAAGAACCACCGGGUGGCUAAUAACCAUCAGGCCUGACGGUAGCCUCAAAGGAAGCACCGGCUAACUCCGUGCCAUCAGCCGCGGUACUACGGAGGGUGCGAGCGUUGUUCGGAAUUAUUGGGCGUAAAGCGCGUGCAGGCGGCCUUUUAAGUCUGAUGUGAAAGCCCCGGGCUCAACCCGGGAAGUGCAUUGGAAACUGGAAGGCUUGAGUACGGGAGAGGGUAGUGGAAUUCCGAGUGUAGGGGUGAAAUCCGUAGAUAUUCGGAGGAACACCGGUGGCGAAGGCGGCUACCUGGACCGAUACUGACGCUGAGACGCGAAAGCGUGGGGAGCAAAC
Molecule: ribosomal RNA, 424 nt
Filed under: uncultured bacterium
Lineage: Bacteria
Description: bacterial SSU rRNA
Rfam family: Bacterial small subunit ribosomal RNA
Source: RNAcentral